AGUCCGUUUAUUUUUUCCGGUUGCACGACCACCUCCUACCCCCUUCAGAUAGGGGACGACCUUCCUCUCCCAAGUCUAGAGAGUGGGUAUGUCCCUCUUCACUUCCAAGCAGGGUUGUGUGUAAAUAAGAAUGUUCUGUUUGGUAGCAGAUUUGUGCUAUGUGAGAGGGAUCCUUCUUGAUCUGCCUUUCUGGUGCUUGAAUGAUGAGAUUCGCAGGUUGUUGGGUUCAUAGGUGAUGAAUUUAUUCUGGGUUGAAGCCAUGCGUGCUUUUGAUGGUAUCGACCAGCAUUUUUUCUUUACUGUGUUGAAGCCAGGAGUGCUGACCUUGGAUCUAAUGGGUGUUUUGGUUUUAGUUUGGUGAGGUAACUGUUGAGGACCUUAUUGUUGCCACUCCUAUCGAUACCCAAUAUCUCAAGGCUGAACUAUGCAAGAGAUCUAUGCCUCAUCGUUCGUCAUUUCCCUUGACUUCAGCAGCCGUACUCGCUACCUUGGUUCUGAAUUUUUCUCUCGGCUGUUCUCACCAUCCAUGGAUAACGUGCUUAUUAGGAAUACCCACUAUAAUAUUUGGUGGCUGGUCGGUGGUUUUGCUAGGAACCUAGCCAUUCUAUUUCCAGUUGGGUCCAUGGGUUGGAAUGGGUUGUAGCCCUCGGCCUCUGUUUUGGAAUAGGCAGCCUUGAAUGGUUUUCAUACUUGGGUUUUGUUUGGAUCUUGUGUAAUUUUUACCUCAGCUUAGUGAGUGUGCCUGUAGUCCUUUCACUGGCCUUUUGGUCUCUUAUCUUGUAACAUGCUCAGGCCUUCUCACAAAUGAAAUUUGAUUUUUGACAA
This is a long non-coding RNA of Manihot esculenta (cassava), 825 nucleotides long. RefSeq lists it as uncharacterized. NCBI's taxonomy places the organism in Eukaryota, Viridiplantae, Streptophyta, Magnoliopsida, Malpighiales, Euphorbiaceae. The transcript has 2 exons. The record is from RefSeq and is a predicted model, not a curated record.